RNAcentral lists this ribosomal RNA (433 nucleotides) under uncultured bacterium. RNAcentral describes it as "partial 16S ribosomal RNA". It matches the Rfam family "Bacterial small subunit ribosomal RNA", at positions 29 to 507 of the family's 1533-position model. The record is from RNAcentral.
AGCGAACGCUGGCGGCAGGCCUAACACAUGCAAGUCGAACGAACUCUUCGGAGUUAGUGGCGGACGGGUGAGUAACACGUGGGAACGUGCCUUUUGGUUCGGAAUAACUCAGGGAAACUUGUGCUAAUACCGAAUGUGGCCUUCGGGGGAAAGAUUUAUCGCCAUUAGAGCGGCCCGCGUCUGAUUAGCUAGUUGGUGAGGUAACGGCUCACCAAGGCGACGAUCAGUAGCUGGUCUGAGAGGAUGACCAGCCACACUGGGACUGAGACACGGCCCAGACUCCUACGGGAGGCAGCAGUGGGGAAUCUUGCGCAAUGGGCGAAAGCCUGACGCAGCCAUGCCGCGUGAAUGAUGAAGGUCUUAGGAUUGUAAAAUUCUUUCACCGGGGACGAUAAUGACGGUACCCGGAGAAGAAGCCCCGGCUAACUUCGUG